Molecule: ribosomal RNA, 521 nt
Filed under: uncultured bacterium
Lineage: Bacteria
Description: bacterial SSU rRNA
Rfam family: Bacterial small subunit ribosomal RNA
Source: RNAcentral
GCGCAGCCUGAUCCAGCAAUGCCGCGUGAGUGAUGAAGGCCUUCGGGUUGUAAAGCUCUUUUACCCGGGAAGAUAAUGACAGUACCGGGAGAAUAAGCUCCGGCUAACUCCGUGCCUACAGCCGCGGUAAUACGAAGGGAGCUAGCGUUCUUCGGAAUUACUGGGCGUAAAGCGCACGUAAGCGGCUUUUUAAGUCAGAUGUGAAAGCCUGGAGCUCAACUCCAGAACUGCCUUUGAGACUGCAUCGCUAGAUUCCGGGAAAGGUGACUGAAAUUCCGAGUGUAGAGGUGAGAUUCAUUCAUAUUCGGAAGAACACCAGUGGCGAAAGCGGCUCACUGGACCGGUAUUGACGCUGAGGUGCGAAAGCGUGGGGAGCAUACAGGAUUAAAUACCCUGGUAGUCCACGCCGUAAACGAUGAUAACUACCUGUCCGGGCACUUGGUGCUUGGGUGGCGCAGCUAACUAGCUAACGCGGUAAGUUCACCGCCUGGUGAUNGGGUUGGACAGGUUGAAACUCAAAG